GACGAACGCUGGCGGCGUGCUUAACACAUGCAAGUCGAACGGAAAGGGCCGGCUUUUGUGGGGUGCGCGAGUGGCGAACAGGUGAGUAUCACGUGAGUAACCUGCCCUUGACUUUGGGAUAACUUCAGGGAACUGGGGCUAAUACCGGAUAUAAGCUCCUGCUGCAUGGGGGGGGUUGGUAAAUUUCGGCGGUUGGGGAUGGACUCGUGGCUCAUCAGCUUGUUGGUGGGGUAGUGGCUUACCAAGGCGUUGACGGGUAGCCGGCCUGAGAGGGUGACCGGCCACAUUGGGCCUGAGGUACGGGCCAGACGCCUACGUGAGGCAGCAGUGGGGAAUAGUGCACAAUGGGCGGAAGCCUGAUGCAACAAUGCCGCGUGCGGGAUGACGGCCUUCGGGGUGUAAACCGCUUUCGCCUGUGACGAAGCGUGAGUGACGGUAAUGGGUAAAGAAGCACCGGCUAACUACGUG
Molecule: ribosomal RNA, 468 nt
Filed under: uncultured bacterium
Lineage: Bacteria
Description: partial 16S ribosomal RNA
Rfam family: Bacterial small subunit ribosomal RNA
Source: RNAcentral